UACGUAGGGUGCGAGCGUUGUCCGGAAUUAUUGGGCGUAAAGAGCUCGUAGGCGGUGUGUCACGUCGGCCGUGAAAACCUGCAGCUUAACUGUGGGCGUGCGGUCGAUACGGGCAUCACUGGAGUUCGGCAGGGGAGACUGGAAUUCCUGGUGUAGCGGUGAAAUGCGCAGAUAUCAGGAGGAACACCGGUGGCGAAGGCGGGUCUCUGGGCCGGUACUGACGCUGAGGUGCGAAAGCGUGGGGAGCAAACAGG
Molecule: ribosomal RNA, 254 nt
Filed under: uncultured bacterium
Lineage: Bacteria
Description: partial 16S ribosomal RNA
Rfam family: Bacterial small subunit ribosomal RNA
Source: RNAcentral